CCUACGGGUGGCAGCAGUGAGGAAUAUUGGUCAAUGGGCGCGAGCCUGAACCAGCCAAGCCGCGUGAAGGAUGACUGCCCUACGGGUUGUAAACUUCUUUUAUAAAGGAAUAAAGUCAGGCACGUGUGCCUUUUUGUGUGUACUUUAUGAAUAAGCAUCGGCUAACUCCGUGCCAGCAGCCGCGGUAAUACGGAGGAUCCGAGCGUUAUCCGGAUUUAUUGGGUUUAAAGGGAGCGUAGAUGGGUUGUUAAGUCAGUUGUGAAAGUUUGCGGCUCAACCGUAGAAUUGCCAUUGAUACUGGCAGUCUUGAGUACAGUUGAGGUAGGCGGAAUUCGUGGUGUAGCGGUGAAAUGCUUAGAUAUCACGAAGAACUCCGAUUGCGAAGGCAGCUUACUAAAC
Molecule: ribosomal RNA, 399 nt
Filed under: uncultured bacterium
Lineage: Bacteria
Description: partial 16S ribosomal RNA
Rfam family: Bacterial small subunit ribosomal RNA
Source: RNAcentral